GAGCAAGGUGUUGGAGAUGGAAGUCACCACCUGCACACAGACAUCAUUUCUUUGUUGAAACUGAGUUAACGACGUCAAAAUUUCCUGUGUGCUUACUAUGUACUAGUCAUUUUGCUAGGCCUUGAGGCCCGAAUGCAGAGGCACAAGAAGGUGAACUGACCUCCUGAGGGCACACUACCAGGAAGUGCAGGAGCAGCUUGGACCCAGGCAACAUGGCUCCAGAGACCACGCUCUCGGCCACACGUUAUAUCACCUCUCAAAACUGAGAACCACAACUAACAGUGUGCAAACUAAGAGUUAACAGAAUGAAGACUGGAGAGCAAGUCUCUUUUAUUGGACUCCACGUCCCAUCCAUCUGGGGACCCGGCACUGGGUGGAUGGGGAGCUGGGAGAAAUGGCGGCAGCGUGUUCAUCAGUGACGCUGCUCAUGGAGACAAUGAAGACCUGCUCUCCUAUCCAAAUGAACAACUUCUGUGAUUUUGGGGAAAUCUGUGAGUUCUGCAACAUCUUUAAAACCCAUCCCUUUGACCAGUAUACUCAGGUCAGUAUGUGUAGCUCUGGGAUAGCAAUUUUAAUGCAAAUGAAACUUAUUUUAUGUUUCUAAUGUCACCAAAUAAAACUUAUAAAAGCCUAAAUCCUAUUCUCCUACAUUAGAAAAAGAAAGAUUUUAUUUUAUUUUAAACAUCAUAAAAGAACAUCUUUUAUGAUGUUCUCAUCCAAUUCAGACUUUGGAUGCUUACAAUUCAGAGAUGAACACCCGUGUGUCCCAUAAAGCUAUGGUACCAGACCAUGGCAACAUUUCGAACCAGAAACCUCUCCAAACUACACCUUCUCAAGGUCUGUGGGAAAUUGUCAAUACUUCCUUAAUCCUGCAAACUAAUGCUCCAAACAUACAACUGAUAAUCCAAGGAACACAGAGGAAUGAGCUGGAAUGGAAGUGAGGAUGACGGGGAGUCCUGGAACUUCACUGUAAACAGCUGGGCAGAAGAACACGGAGCCCAUGUUCUGAUUGACUCACUGAAUCUGGCAGCUGGGAUGUAAAGCCCAAGGAAGUUUAAGGGCAGGAGGAAGAAUUGCCAAAGGACAUUGCUAUUUCUGUGAUAGCAGAAGUUACUUAAUAACUUCUCCUCUUGUGAUAGCAAGUUACUUGAUGUUUUUCUUGGAACCUAACUUUAUGGAAGUCCCUUUAAUGUUGUGCUUGUAAGAAAAAGCCCAAAACUGCUUUGGCCUCUGGUUCUGGAGCUCAGUAGACCAGAAUGAUGUGAGUGAACAGUAACAAUUAGCUGAGGCCUUUCCCAGCAAUGGGAGCCUACAGGAUAGGAUUUCAUGAGACUGAACUAGGAGAAUCUCUCAAGACAGGGUUGAAAAAGGGUGUGUAAACUUCAUACAUGUUCAAGAAGCAUUUAAUAACUUUUAUGAAAUCGGUUUCAGAGUAAAGUCCCUAUCACUGGAAUACAGAAGUGAAGCUGACAGGGCAGAACAAUAUGAUGAAGUUAAACCCAAAUCAGAUGGAACAGGUUAACAUGAAAGUAAAUUCAGAGUCCUGUCUCUCCAACUCCCACCCAUACUCUUGCUGCUGUUCCUGAGCAUGGCCUGGGUUCAGGGCUAUAGCUUCUGCAUGGCAGCUAGGGUCUACCUGGAAAAAGAACUGGUGCCCUAGUGCAUCUGUAGCAUUGGAAAUGACUGUCUUCGGGGCCACCAGGUUAGGAAGGUAGGUGUGGACCAAAAAAAAAAAAAAAAGGUGGGAGUAGAGCUGAACUCCCCCCAUAGUGGGUCUCUUUUCCUUUCAGUCUCCCUGGGAGACCUCUGGAGCAGAGAAGGCCUGACCCUAAGCAGAUGUAGGAACAAAUCUCUUACGAGAGAAUGUUCAGGGAGGUCCCUGGUCGGAACACCAGAGAAAAGACACAGGAGGAAUUUUCCUGGCCAAUAUCCACUUCCUCGCAGCCAUAUCUUAGGCUUCAGUUAGAGUUUUCUGAGAACCCCUUGAAUCGGGCCAGGGGAAAAACCCAGCACUUAGACUGUACUUUGGACAAAUACAAAAUGUCAAAAUCCGAAUCCCAAACCCUGGGAUAGAGACCACAGGUGACAUAAAAACAGAUAUGGAGGAACAUUCCAAGACUAAAAAGAAAUCAUUGGCUGUGAAGGCAUCAACAGUGCUUCCAUGAACUAAACUUCAAAACCCAAAUCCACAGAUUAACAAAAAUCCAUAUUUACUAAAUCAUUCCCAAAUUAUUAUAUGUAGGUUUAGGCAACACAUGUCUUCUAAGCUAAGCUCCCAAGUUUGCUCUCUUAAAUAUAUGAGGUCAGAAUUUUCAGCCAUGAAAUCUCUUUCAUUUGAAAUGCAAAUCUAAUAUCUAAUACUGAAACGUUAAAAGAAUGAAAUAGUGGAGCAAGGUUUUACAAUGGGGCUCAGAGUCCAUGGGGUGACUGAUCAGAUUUUGGUGAUAGACAAGUUGCUUAAAAUACCAAGUAACAAGGUCCCAACACAUGAUGGAGCAGAGGGAGAGAAAAGCAGGAAGAGAAUUGUGUUCGGUGUACACUGAUGGACCAGCUAUCUGGGAGCUGGUAUCUAUGAGGUUCGAACUGCCCAAAUGCAAACCUAACAGCAGCUUCUUGCGUCUGGGCCAGAUACCAAAGUCCUGGUACUGGUCCUUUUCACACUAUCUCAACAUUCACAUAAUGCACUUCAACAGUUUUCCACGCUGCACUGGAAGAGCAGAUACCUCCUAGAUGGAACCUGGAGACCCAAGGCAGCCACAGUAAAUAAGUAUCUUGCACAUACAUCAAAUGCAGUCCUCAAACACAACCUUACAUCUUAGUAAAGAAGUCAGAAAGUACCAACAAAAAUGAUAGGCUUUUUUUCCUACAACAAUGUUUAAUCUCCAUGCUGAGAAGUCCCAUUUGACUUUUUUCCCCAUGCCUUUUAAAAUUAGGUGACAAAGUAGAAAUCCAGUUGUGAAAAUAAAAAGGCAGAGGUGUAUGAGCCCUGGCUCAAUGA
This is a long non-coding RNA of Zalophus californianus (California sea lion), 2998 nucleotides long. RefSeq lists it as uncharacterized. The record is from RefSeq and is a predicted model, not a curated record. Lineage: Eukaryota; Metazoa; Chordata; Mammalia; Carnivora; Otariidae. The transcript has 3 exons.